UCUCGUCUCGAGCUUUUGUUCAUCUGUUUCCAGCCGCACCGCGGAGAACAGGAGCCAUUACGACUCACUACGGUCUUCAUCAGCAGUCACGCGUGUGUUCUCAUUACCUCUUGCAGGACGUGGAUACUAAAAUAGUUUCACAGUCGGACGUUUGGUGUUUAAACCUUCAUUUACUUACAAACUCAACAUGGAGAGCGAGAACAAAUACCUCCCGCAGCUGCUGGCGGAACGAGACACCCUGGACGCCUCGUUCACACACGCCACGAAACUUAUAUCCGCAGAAAUUGAAAGGGUCCAAAAUGGGGAGACCGAGAAAGACUCAGAAAGCUACCUGGACCUCUUUACGACGAAAAACAUCAAACUGAAGGAAAGGGUUCUCAUACCUGUCAAGCAGUACCCUAAGUUUAACUUUGUUGGAAAGAUCCUUGGACCACAGGGGAACACCAUCAAGAGACUGCAGGAAGAGACGGGCGCUAAGAUCUCUGUGCUGGGGAAAGGAUCCAUGAGGGACAAAACCAAGGAGGAUGAAUUGAGAAACAGUGGAGAGCCGAAGUAUGCACACUUGUCCAUGGAGCUUCAUGUGUUCAUCGAGGUGUUUGCUCCUGUUCCUGAGGCGUACAUGCGCAUGGCUCAUGCCAUGGAGGAGAUCAAAAAGUUCUUGUUCCCUGACAUGAUGGAUGAUAUUUGCCAGGAGCAGUUCAUGGAGAUGAAGUAUCUAAAUGGGGGUCAGGAACAUGGGGGCAGAGGUCGAGGAGGGCCACCCAUCAGAGGCCGUGGAGGUCUUCCUCCUCCUGGGGCACCCAGGGGUCGUGGUAUGCCCCCACGUGGAGGUGGCCGUGGUGGUCCCCCACGAGGUGGAGCCACAAGGGGAGCUCCUGCAGGUCGAGGUGGACCAUCAGCCCAGCCGCCUAGAGGUGCAGCUUCCAACCGUGCCCGUCCACCCGCCCAGGCUCAGCGGAUGCCCCCUCCAACAGCACCGCACCCUCCGGCCCAAGAGUCGUAUGAAGACUAUUCUUAUGACGAGAGCUACACAGAGCCAGGCUAUGAAUCCUAUGACAGCUACUACACCCAGCCACAAGCAGAACCAGAGUACUAUGAUUAUGGACACGGAGAGACACAAGAGGGGUAUGAAAACUACGCUCAAGAUGACUGGAACGGGACACAGCGUGCUGUUGGUGGUGGAAAAGCUCCCACUCAGAGACCGACUAAGCCUGGAUUCAGGGAAGCCCCUUAUGGACGAUACUAAGUCUGACUAGCGGAAAGUCACCCAACGCGUCGCCAUAACUGUCUCCCAUGGCAGCUCACACUUUAAGCUACCCGACAAAAGUUGUGAUGCCUGGAAAUUCCUGGAAAUGGAAAGUUUAAACAAGAGUAUCAGACCUCUCCCCAGGAAAAGACAAGUGUUUGUUUGCAGUGUAAGAGCAAUCUUACCUUUGAACACGAGCAGUCGUUAUGGAACCAUGGACGGUCUGACUGGACAGCUUCUGAAUGGGGUGGAAUGGCAAAAAUCGAUGGUCCUGUCAGCUAAAGUUUAAACCAGCAGCCUCUUAAAAGGGUUACUCUUGAGGUCUGGUGCUGUGUAUGUCUGCUCUCCAGUGGUUAUGAAAGUCAUUUCUCUGUACUGAAAAGUUUUACUGUUCACCUCAAGUGCUUUCUAAGCACACUUAACUUAAAAUUUUCAUCUUUAAAUUGACCUCUUCUGCUCAUGUUGGCCAAGAAAUCAUUUUAACAAGCUCGAAAAAUUCUGUCCGUGCUCUCUAAACGUCUACCUCAGACAAUCCUCCAGUGCUUUAUUCUGCAGGACAAGCAUGUCUUCCCCAGUUCUUUGCUCAGAGGAACGUACAUGCUAAUUUAGAGUUGUCCAGCCCCUAUCUCUUAGCAAAGAUUUGUCCUUUAAAUGCCAUGGUUUGUCAUGUUUGAAUGGGUUUAAGCUGCCGGAACUGUCUUUUCUAUCAUGAACCAAACGCAAAAAUCUCCUGGGGCUCGCAACAUAGUAAGUUGAUCUAAAUCAUACUAACAUUGUUACUUUAAGUUCUGGAUAAAGGUCUUUCUUGCCCUAAUUGAGAGCUUUCCAUAAAUUCAGCUUUUUCUAAUCCUUGCUGUGCAGAGUCUGAAUUCAGCACUGCAUGUAUAUGCGUCACUGUCAGUGUGUAUUGCUGUAGCUUUCAUCUUUUGCUCAUUUUCACCUCAGCACACGUACGAUUCGAGCCCGUCAUUCUGACCAAUUACUGCUGAUGACAGUGUGUCCGUCCCCCGCGGAGCCGCCACUGGUUGCCGACUGGCUAACAGGACUAAUGCCUUAUUGCAUUAGAGACAAAUCUGUCCUCUGCACAGAUUUUAAUAAGCAUCAGCCACUGCUCAAGUGGUGUCGAACAAUGGGUCCACGUGGUUAGAAGGUUGACCGAUGUUUAUGCAGGCUUCACCGUAAUGAGAAAUCGCAAAAGCAGAUAAUGGAAAUAUUUAUUUUCUGGACCGAUGCUAGGGGUUAAAGAACACAGUCUCAAGAAGGGAAUUUUCAACCCAACUGUGUGCACUAAAUGUGUCUGUUUACGGUCAUAUCUGUUUGCGUACGUGACUUGCUGCUUGGGAAAGGUGCAACGCAUGUGUUGUGUUCUGAAACAACACAUUGUGCAUACUGAAAAAGAAAGCAUGGCUUUACGAAUGCAAAUGAAAUGCUCACACCAAUGUCUGUCUGUCGUCUUGCAUGGCUAUUUUGUUGAUUUUACACCUAACCAGUGCACACACUCCAGGGAGUCAGGGUUUUGAGUGCAUGGGGAGGAGUUGUGAUGGUUUCUGGCUCGUGUCCUGGAGAACCAUGGCUGCUGGCCACCUCCUUCAGUGUCAAAUGCUGGUAAUAACUUAGCCUCCUAAAGGUCUCUCUCAAUGUGCUUUGAUGAAUAUAAAUUAAAUCCAUCCAUGUGGAAUCUGGCUUGAGUAAUCCGUAGCCCUCCAGGACAAAGAGUUGGACACCUCCACCUGUCACUAAAUAUUCCAUUGCAUGUUUUCCAGCAUCCACAUAAGCAGACACACCUAAAACAAUGUCAGCAAACCAUGGGGAUAUCUUGGGUUUAGUGAUGAAAUUGAUUAGAGAUGAGUGCCAGGAGUCUGUAUUCUUUUGCUUUCUUAAGGAGAUUGACGAGCCUGUAUUUCAAUGCAGCUAAACUGGAUUUAAGCUUAUUGAAGUGCUUGUCUUUCCGCAUAGCUGUUGCCCUUAUUUCUGUAGAAGAAAACUAAUGCCUUUGGAGCUGUGAAACCUUUCAGUCACUUGGGGGAGCGGACAGAAUUUUUCACUAUUGAAAGUUAUUCAAACUUUUUUGGAAGUUGGUGUAUUGAAGUGCACGUACAGCCUGCAAAUGAUUACUUAUGACUAAAAAAGUGAAUUCCUAAGAUCCUUGCAUAUGUUUUUAUCUCUUUUGUAAUGUCAAAAAUAACAAAUAAAUAUAUUCUAGACCUGG
Pimephales promelas (fathead minnow) is the source of this 3455-nucleotide RNA transcript. It is a transcript of the gene named KH domain containing, RNA binding, signal transduction associated 1b, with no coding region annotated. Lineage: Eukaryota; Metazoa; Chordata; Actinopteri; Cypriniformes; Leuciscidae. The record is from RefSeq and is a predicted model, not a curated record.